GACGAACGCUGGCGGCGUGCUUAACACAUGCAAGUCGAACGGAAAGGCCCUGCUUUUGUGGGGUGCUCGAGUGGCGAACGGGUGAGUAACACGUGAGUAACCUGCCCUUGACUUUGGGAAAACUUCAGGAAACUGGGGCUAAUACCGGAUAGGAGCUCCUGCUGAAUGGUGGGGGUGGGAAAGUUUCGGCGGUUGGGGAUGGACUCGCGGCUUAUCAGCUUGUUGGUGGGGUAGUGGCUUACCAAGGCUUUGACGGGUAGCCGGCCUGAGAGGGUGACCGGCCACAUUGGGACUGAGAUACGGCCCAGACUCCUACGGGAGGCAGCAGUGGGGAAUAUUGCACAAUGGGCGGAAGCCUGAUGCAGCAACGCCGCGUGCGGGAUGACGGCCUUCGGGUUGUAAACCGCUUUCGCCUGUGACGAAGCGUGAGUGACGGUAAUGGGUAAAGAAGCACCGGCUAACUACGUG
This 468-nucleotide ribosomal RNA is filed under the name uncultured bacterium. RNAcentral's name for it is "partial 16S ribosomal RNA". It matches the Rfam family "Bacterial small subunit ribosomal RNA", at positions 28 to 507 of the family's 1533-position model. The record is from RNAcentral.